RNAcentral lists this ribosomal RNA (301 nucleotides) under uncultured bacterium. RNAcentral describes it as "partial 16S ribosomal RNA". It matches the Rfam family "Bacterial small subunit ribosomal RNA", at positions 509 to 807 of the family's 1533-position model. The record is from RNAcentral.
CAGCAGCCACGGGAAUACGGAGGGUGCAAGCGUUAAUCGGAAUUACUGGGCGUAAAGCGCACGCAGGCGGUCUGACAAGUCAGAUGUGAAAUCCCCGGGCUUAACCUGGGAACUGCAUUUGAAACUGUCAGGCUGGAGUCUUGUAGAGGGGGGUGGAAUUCCAGGUGUAGCGGUGAAAUGCGUAGAGAUCUGGAGGAAUACCGGUGGCGAAGGCGGCCCCCUGGACAAAGACUGACGCUCAGGUGCGAAAGCGUGGGGAGCAAACAGGAUUAGAGACCCGCGUAGUCCCUGUCUCUUAUAC